This is a long non-coding RNA of Pezoporus flaviventris, 277 nucleotides long. RefSeq lists it as uncharacterized. The transcript is spliced from 3 exons. NCBI's taxonomy places the organism in Eukaryota, Metazoa, Chordata, Aves, Psittaciformes, Psittacidae. The record is from RefSeq and is a predicted model, not a curated record.
CAAAUCUUUUAUGUUCUUGCACGAUUAAAACCUCAGACUGAAAUCUAGAACCCAAGAUAUACUGAGGCCACAUUUCAAGAGUGAGCUAACACCUGGUAAAAUAGUGACUUGAGAAAAGGGCCUUUGCAAACAAGCCCUAAAGGUACUGGGGAGAUCUACUUUUACUCUAACUAGAAGAUCACAAGGAUGCAUGACACUGAGGAAAUUGUGGAAAUACAUACUUUAAAAAUGAGAAAAGUAUAAGAAAGAAAGCAAAAUGAAUGGAAACUUUGACAUA